Molecule: ribosomal RNA, 467 nt
Filed under: uncultured ciliate
Lineage: Eukaryota; Ciliophora
Description: SSU rRNA
Rfam family: Eukaryotic small subunit ribosomal RNA
Source: RNAcentral
AUUUGUCUGGUUAAUUCCGAUAACGAACGAGACCUUAACCUGCUAACUAGUUCAUAAUACUCUGUAUUUUGCAACUUCUUAGAGGGACUAUGUAAAUCAAUUACAUGGAAGUUUGAGGCAAUAACAGGUCAGUGAUGCCCUUAUAUGUCCUGGGCUGCACGCGUGCUACACUGAUGCAUACAACAAGUGCCUAGCCAGACAUGGUAUGGCAAUCUCGAAUAUGCAUCGUGAUGGGGAUAGAUCUUUGCAAUUAUAGAUCUUGAACGAGGAAUUCCUAGUAAGUGCAAGUCAUCAUCUUGCAUUGACUAUGUCCCUGCCCUUUGUACACACCGCCCGUCGCUCCUACCGAUACCGGGUGAUCCGGUGAACCUUUUGGACUCUGUAAAGGGGAAGAUAAGUAAACCAUAUCACCUAGAGGAAGGAGAAGUCGUAACAAGGUUUCCGUAGGUGAACCUGCRGAAGGAUCA